Molecule: ribosomal RNA, 502 nt
Filed under: uncultured bacterium
Lineage: Bacteria
Description: partial 16S ribosomal RNA
Rfam family: Bacterial small subunit ribosomal RNA
Source: RNAcentral
GAUGAACGCUACCGGCAGGCCUAACACAUGCAAGUCGAGGGGCAGCACAGAAACAGCAAUGUUUUGGUGGCGACCGGCGGACGGGUGCGUAACGCGUAUGCAACCUACCUUUAUCAGGGGGAUAACGGAGAGAAAUUUCCACUAAUACCCCAUAACAUCGAUCAAGGCAUCUUGAUUGGUUGAAAACUCCGGUGGUGAAAGAUGGGCAUGCGUUGUAUUAGGUAGUUGGUGAGGUAAUGGCUCACCAAGCCUACGAUACAUAGGGGGACUGAGAGGUUAGCCCCCCACACUGGUACUGAGACACGGACCAGACUCCUACGGGAGGCAGCAGUGAGGAAUAUUGGUCAAUGGGGGCAACCCUGAACCAGCCAUGCCGCGUGCAGGAAGACGGCUCUAUGAGUUGUAAACUGCUUUUAAACAGGGAUAAAGCACAGUAUGUAUACUGUGUUGAAGGUACUGUAAGAAUAAGGAUCGGCUAACUCCGUGCCAGCAGCCGCGGUAA